UAUGGCUUCCUCGCCACCUACCAUCACCGGCACGGCCAUGAGCACUAGCUGUAGCGGUGCCCUUCGCGCAGCCACCACCAAAGCGCUGCUACUCCUCGUCGUCGCCGUCUUCGUAGUCUCGCUCUCGCGUCCAUUUCCGUGCGCGGCGGCGGCGCGCGACAGUCUACUCCGGGGCGCCUCCAUCGCCGUCGAGGACCACGCCACCGACGUCCUGCUCUCCCCGGACGGCACCUUCGCCUGCGGCUUCUACGUCGUCUCGCCCACCGUCUUCACCUUCUCCGUCUGGUUCGCGCGCGCCGCCGACCGCGCCGUCGUCUGGUCCGCCAACCGCGGCCGCCCCGUCCACAGCAAGCGCUCCCGUCUCAAACUCAACGGCCGCCGCCGCGCGCUCGUCCUCACCGACUACGACGGCGAGGUGGUCUGGAACUCCACCGUCAGCGCCAACGCCACCGCCACCGCCACAGCUGCGCGCGCUCGGCUGCACGAUUCCGGCAACCUCGCCGUCGAGGACGCGAGCGGGAACGUCCUAUGGCAGAGCUUCGACCACCCCACCGACACACUACUGCCUACGCAGCGCAUCGCCGCCGGCGAGGCGAUGGUCUCGGCAGACAAGCUCCUCGCCGCGGGCUUCUACAGCUUCCGCUUCAGCGACUACGCCAUGCUGUCGCUGGUGUACGACAACCAUGAGAUGUCCAGCAUCUACUGGCCCAACCCCUACUACAGCUACUGGCAGAACAGUCGCAAGAUCUACAACUUCACCCGGGAAGCUUUCUUCGACGCCUCUGGCCAUUUCUCGUCCAGCGACAACGCCACCUUCGACGCCUCCGAUCUGGCCAAGAAUGUCGCCGUUAGGAGGAGGCUGACGCUGGACACAGAUGGUAACCUCAGGCUGUACAGCCUUGACGAGGUCACCGGGACAUGGUCGGUGUCGUGGAUGGCGUUCAGCAACCCGUGCAUCAUCCACGGUGUGUGCGGCGCCAACGCCGUGUGCCUCUACUCGCCGGCGCCGGUGUGCGUCUGCGCGCCAGGGUACGGGCGCGCCGAACCGAGCGACUGGAGCAGAGGCUGCCGGCCGACGUUCAACUCCAGUGACGACGGCGGCCAGCCGCGGGCGAUGAAGAUGGUGCCGCUGCCGCACACCGACUUCUGGGGCUUCGACAUCAACAGCAGCGAGAACCUGUCGCUGGACGAGUGCUCGACACGGUGCAUGAGCGAGCCGUCGUGCGUGGUUUUCCAGUACAAGCAGGGCAAAGGUGAGUGCUACCCAAAAAGCCUCAUGUUCAAUGGCAGAACGUUCCCCGGCCUGCCUGGGACGGCCUAUCUCAAGGUCCCGGCUGAUCUUGACAUGCUAGAAAUACACAUCCACCAAUGGCAAGCAGACAGCGAUGGUCACGGCAUUGCCGCCAUUCAGGAAGACAUCGUCGGAUGCGGUGGCAUGAGCUCACCGGAGUUCUUGCUCAAUGUCUCGAAUGCGUCAUCGAGCAAAAGUAAUCAGGGCAAGUCGAUAUGGUUCUACUUCUACGGAUUUCUGACUGCAUUUUUUGUCAUUGAAGUGUUUGUGAUAGCAUUCGGUUGCUGGCUCUUUUCCAACAAGGGAGUUUUUAAGCCAUGUCAGGUUUCAGCACUAGAUGAAGGGUACAGGAUGGUUACCAACCAUUUUCGCACAUAUAGCUACGCAGAGCUACAGAAGGGAACUAGAAAGUUUCAGAGUGAGAUCGGCCGUGGUGGGUCAAGGUGCUACAAGAUGUGAAGCAAAGUGAGGAUGUGUUCCAGGCUGAGUUGAGUGUUAUUGGUAGAAUUUAUCAUAUGAAUCUUGUUAGAAUGUGGGGUUUUUGCUUAGAAGGAAUACAUAGGAUUUUAGUCUAUGAAUACAUUGAGAAUGGAUCAUUGGCCAAAGUACUAUUUCAAGGGAGGAAUUCCGGUAUGUUUCUUGGAUGGAAGCAAAGGUUCAACAUUGUUCUAGGUGUUGCCAAGGGGCUAGCAUAUCUUCACAAUGAGUGCCUUGAGUGGAUCAUCCAUUGCGACAUGAAGCCGGAGAACAUACUAUUAGAUGAAGAUAUGGAGCCUAAGAUCACUGACUUUGGCUUGUCCAAGUUGUUGAAUAGAGACGGGUCUGGUCCUGACAUGUCACGGAUUCGGGGGACAAGAGGAUAUAUGGCUCCUGAGUGGGUUUCUAGCCUUCCAAUCACAGAGAAAGUUGAUGUGUACAGUUACGGAGUGGUGCUUCUUGAACUGGUGAAAGGGAUGAGGAUUUUAGACUGGGUGUUGGAUGGGAAAGAGGGACUAGAAGCCGACGUGAGAAGUGUGGUUAAGAUGGUUGUCAGCAAACUUGAGAGCAACAUGGAAUCCUGGGUUGCGGAUUUGAUGGAUGAUCGGUUGCAUGGUGAAUUUAAUCAUUUGCAGGCUAGGCUACUAAUGCAAUUGGCCGUUUCAUGCUUGGAAGAAGAUAAAAACAAAAGGCCAACCAUGAAGUACAUAGUACAAAUGCUCAUUUCCGCUGAAGAUGAAGCUCAUGCCUUCACCUAAUUCUGAUGGUUCUAACACAAGUAUUUGAGAUUUAAUAUGAAGUUCACUCUUUAUCUAUUUCACCCUUUCUGUAAAAAUUAUGCAAAUUCAUUAGCACUCUACUUUAUUAGUUGGAAGAUUGUAAGAGAGUGCAGGUUCUUAA
Oryza sativa Japonica Group (Japanese rice) is the source of this 2668-nucleotide RNA transcript. It is a transcript of the gene named putative receptor protein kinase ZmPK1, with no coding region annotated. Lineage: Eukaryota; Viridiplantae; Streptophyta; Magnoliopsida; Poales; Poaceae. The record is from RefSeq and is a predicted model, not a curated record.